GAUGAAGAACGCAGCAAAAUGCGAUAAGUAAUGUGAAUUGCAGAAUUCAGUGAAUCAUCGAAUCUUUGAACGCACAUUGCGCCCGCUGGUAUUCCGGCGGGCAUGCCUGUUCGAGCGUCAUUUCAACCCUCAAGCCCCCGGGUUUGGUGUUGGGGAUCGGCUCUGCCCUUCUGGGCGGUGCCGCCCCCGAAAUACAUUGGCGGUCGCGCUGCAGCCUCCAUUGCGUAGUAGCUAACACCUCGCAACUGGAACGCGGCGCGGCCAUGCCGUAAAACCCCAACUUCUGAAUGUUGACCUCGGAUCAGGUAGGAAUACCCGCUGAACUUAAGCAUAUCAAUAAGCGGAGGA
This 348-nucleotide unclassified non-coding RNA is filed under the name soil metagenome. RNAcentral's name for it is "partial contains 5.8S ribosomal RNA, internal transcribed spacer 2, and large subunit ribosomal RNA". The stretch from base 1 to 120 matches the Rfam family "5.8S ribosomal RNA", at positions 35 to 154 of the family's 154-position model. The record is from RNAcentral.